RNAcentral lists this transfer RNA (73 nucleotides) under Ictidomys tridecemlineatus (thirteen-lined ground squirrel). RNAcentral describes it as "Spermophilus tridecemlineatus (thirteen-lined ground squirrel) tRNA". It matches the Rfam family "tRNA". Rfam says of the family: Transfer RNA (tRNA) molecules are approximately 80 nucleotides in length. Lineage: Eukaryota; Metazoa; Chordata; Mammalia; Rodentia; Sciuridae. The record is from Rfam by way of RNAcentral.
UGAGGUAUAGCUGAGUUGGUAGAGUACUUGCCUCAUAUGUACAAGGCCCUGGGUUCAAUCCCCAGCACCACAA